This 253-nucleotide ribosomal RNA is filed under the name uncultured bacterium. RNAcentral's name for it is "partial 16S ribosomal RNA". It matches the Rfam family "Bacterial small subunit ribosomal RNA", at positions 524 to 776 of the family's 1533-position model. The record is from RNAcentral.
UACGAAGGGGGCUAGCGUUGUUCGGAAUUACUGGGCGUAAAGGGCGCGUAGGCGGCUGCCCAAGUCAGAUGUGAAAGCCCCGGGCUUAACCUGUGAAUUGCAUUUUAGACUGGGCGGCUUGAGUUCCGGAGAGGUGGGUGGAAUUCCCAGUGUAGAGGUGAAAUUCGUAGAUAUUGGGAAGAACACCUGUGGCGAAGGCGGCCCACUGGACGGACACUGACGCUGAGGCGCGAAAGCGUGGGGAGCAAACAGG